RNAcentral lists this transfer RNA (75 nucleotides) under Diplazium bellum. RNAcentral's name for it is "tRNA-Val". The record is from RNAcentral. Lineage: Eukaryota; Viridiplantae; Streptophyta; Polypodiopsida; Polypodiales; Athyriaceae.
GGGCUAUGGCUCAGCGGUGGUUUACACGCGCGCCGAUGACCGAGAGUGUCUACGGCUUGAAUCCGUAUAGUCCUA